AGGAUUCCCCUAKUAACUGCGAGUGAAGCGGGAAAAGCUCAAAUUUAAAAUCUGGUAGUCUUUGGCUGCCCGAGUUGUAAUCUAGAGAAGCAUUAUCCGCGCUGGACCGUGUACAAGUGUCCUGGAAUGGACUAUCAUAGAGGGUGAGAAUCCCGUCUUUGACACGGACUCCCAGGGCUUUGUGAUGUGCUCUCAAAGAGUCGAGUUGUUUGGGAAUGCAGCUCUAAAUGGGUGGUAAAUUCCAUCUAAAGCUAAAUAUUGGCGAGAGACCGAUAGCGAACAAGUACCGUGAGGGAAAGAUGAAAAGAACUUUGGAAAGAGAGUUAAACAGUACGUGAAAUUGCUGAAAGGGAAACGCUUGAAGUCAGUCGCGUUGGCUGGGAAUCAACCUUGCUUUUUGCUUGGCUUACUUCCCAGUUGACGGGUCAGCAUCAGUUUUGACCGGUGGAUAAAGGCUAGGGGAAUGUGGCACCUUCGGGUGUGUUAUAGCCCUUGGUCAUAUACACUGAUUGG
RNAcentral lists this ribosomal RNA (513 nucleotides) under Termitomyces sp. symbiont of Acanthotermes acanthothorax. RNAcentral's name for it is "eukaryotic LSU rRNA". It matches the Rfam family "Eukaryotic large subunit ribosomal RNA", at positions 71 to 583 of the family's 3401-position model. Lineage: Eukaryota; Fungi; Basidiomycota; Agaricomycetes; Agaricales; Lyophyllaceae. The record is from RNAcentral.